AUUGAACGCUGGCGGAAUGCUUUACACAUGCAGGUCGAACGGCAGCACGGACUUCGGUCUGGUGGCGAGUGGCGAACGGGUGAGUAAUACAUCGGAACGUGCCCAGUCGUGGGGGAUAACGUAGCGAAAGCUACGCUAAUACCGCAUACGAUCUAAGGAUGAAAGCGGGGGAUCGCAAGACCUCGCGCGAUUGGAGCGGCCGAUGGCAGAUUAGGUAGUUGGUAGGGUAAAGGCCUACCAAGCCGACGAUCUGUAGCUGGUCUGAGAGGAUGAUCAACCACACUGGGACUGAGACACGGCCCAGACUCCUACGGGAGGCAGCAGUGGGGAAUUUUGGACAAUGGGCGCAAGCCUGAUCCAGCCAUUCCGCGUGCAGGAUGAAGGCCUUCGGGUUGUAAACUGCUUUUGUACAGAACGAAAAGGCUCUGGUUAAUACCCGGGGCUCAUGACGGUACUGUAAGAAUAAGCACCGGCUAACUACGUGCCAGCCGCCGCAGUAA
RNAcentral lists this ribosomal RNA (500 nucleotides) under uncultured bacterium. RNAcentral's name for it is "partial 16S ribosomal RNA". It matches the Rfam family "Bacterial small subunit ribosomal RNA", at positions 30 to 523 of the family's 1533-position model. The record is from RNAcentral.